RNAcentral lists this ribosomal RNA (254 nucleotides) under uncultured bacterium. RNAcentral describes it as "partial 16S ribosomal RNA". It matches the Rfam family "Bacterial small subunit ribosomal RNA", at positions 524 to 776 of the family's 1533-position model. The record is from RNAcentral.
UACGUAGGGUGCGAGCGUUGUCCGGAAUUAUUGGGCGUAAAGAGCUCGUAGGCGGUGUGUCGCGUCGGUCGUGAAAACUUGGGGCUUAACCCUGAGCUUGCGGUCGAUACGGGCAUCACUGGAGUUCGGCAGGGGAGACUGGAAUUCCUGGUGUAGCGGUGAAAUGCGCAGAUAUCAGGAGGAACACCGGUGGCGAAGGCGGGUCUCUGGGCCGAUACUGACGCUGAGGAGCGAAAGCCAGGGGAUCAAACGGG